CUUCAAACCAAGGAAAUGUCAAUAUGACAACAUGUAAAAAAGGAGACCAAGUACAGUUGCAAUCUUUAUUAACAAUAUUCAUAAAUGUUCAGUAUAUCCAGCAUGAUUGGAGGUCUUAUGCAACAUUAAACUACUUUUAAGUGUCGAUACCAGUUAACAACUGCAGAACACCAAUAAGCACUGUAAUAUUAUACACCUCAAGGGUUUAGCAGAGAAAAAAAAUAAUAAGAUUUCUAUACCAAUAAA
Molecule: long non-coding RNA, 246 nt
Organism: Nanorana parkeri
Lineage: Eukaryota; Metazoa; Chordata; Amphibia; Anura; Dicroglossidae
Exons: 3
Source: RefSeq, a predicted model, not a curated record